RNAcentral lists this ribosomal RNA (278 nucleotides) under unidentified marine bacterioplankton. Its description in RNAcentral is "partial 16S ribosomal RNA". It matches the Rfam family "Bacterial small subunit ribosomal RNA", at positions 33 to 339 of the family's 1533-position model. The record is from RNAcentral.
UACGCUGGCGGCACGCCUAACACAUGCAAGUCGAGCGAGGUAGCAAUACCUAGCGGCAGACGGGUGCGUAACAUGUGGGAAUCUGCCUUUUGGUUCGGAACAACACGGGGAAACCUGUGCUAAUACCGGAUAAGCCCUUACGGGGAAAGUUUUAAUGCCAAAAGAUGAGCCCGCACUUGAUUAGCUAGUUGGUAAGGUAAUGGCUUACCAAGGCAACGAUCAAUAGCUGUUCUUAGAGGAAGACCAGCCACAUUGGGACUGAGACACGGCCAAACUCC